This 984-nucleotide ribosomal RNA is filed under the name uncultured eukaryote. RNAcentral's name for it is "SSU rRNA". It matches the Rfam family "Eukaryotic small subunit ribosomal RNA", at positions 615 to 1626 of the family's 1831-position model. The record is from RNAcentral.
GCAGUUAAAAAGCUCGUAGUUGAACUUCAGACCUGGCCGGGUGGUCUGCCUCACGGUAUGUACUGUCUGGCUGGGUCUUACCUCUUGGUGAGCCGGCAUGCCCUUUACUGGGUGUGUCGGGGAACCAGGACUUUUACCUUGAGAAAAUUAGAGUGUUCAAAGCAGGCCUAUGCCUGAAUACAUUAGCAUGGAAUAAUAAAAUAGGACGUGCGGUUCUAUUUUGUUGGUUUCUAGAGUCGCCGUAAUGAUUAAUAGGGAUAGUUGGGGGCAUUAGUAUUCAGUUGCUAGAGGUGAAAUUCUUGGAUUUACUGAAGACUAACUACUGCGAAAGCAUUUGCCAAGGAUGUUUUCAUUAAUCAAGAACGAAGGUUAGGGGAUCGAAAACGAUCAGAUACCGUUGUAGUCUUAACAGUAAACUAUGCCGACUAGGGAUCGGGCGACCUCAAUCUUAUGUGUCGCUCGGCACCUUACGAGAAAUCAAGUCUUUGGGUUCUGGGGGGAGUAUGGUCGCAAGGGCUGAAACUUAAAGGAAUUGACGGAAGGGCACCACCAGGAGUGGAGCCUGCGGCUUAAUUUGACUCAACACGGGGAAACUCACCAGGUCCAGACAUGACUAGGAUUGACAGAUUGAUAGCUCUUUCAUGAUUUUAUGGGUGGUGGUGCAUGGCCGUUCUUAGUUGGUGGAGUGAUUUGUCUGGUUAGUUCCGAUAACGAACGAGACCUUAACCUGCUUAAUAGCCAGGCCGGCUUUUGCUGGUCGCCGGCUUCUUAGAGGGACUGUCUGCGUCUAGCAGACGGAAGUUUGAGGCAAUAACAGGUCUGUGAUGCCCUUAGAUGUUCUUGGCCGCACGCGCGCUACACUGACUGAGCCAGCGAGUUUUUUUCCUUGGCCGGAAGGUCUGGGUAAUCUUGUGAAACUCUGUCGUGCUGGGGAUAGAGCAUUGCAAUUAUUGCUCUUCAACGAGGAAUUCCUAGUAAGCGUGA